AGUGAACGCUGGCGGUAGGCCUAACACAUGCAAGUCGAACGGCAGCACAGUAAGAGCUUGCUCUUACGGGUGGCGAGUGGCGGACGGGUGAGGAAUACAUCGGAAUCUACUUUUUCGUGGGGGAUAACGUAGGGAAACUUACGCUAAUACCGCAUACGACCUACGGUUGAAAGCAGGGGAUCUUCGGACCUUGCGCGAUUGAAUGAGCCGAUGUCGGAUUAGCUAGUUGGCGGGGUAAAGGCCCACCAAGGCGACGAUCCGUAGCUGGUCUGAGAGGAUGAUCAGCAACACUGGAACUGAGACACGGUCCAGACUCCUACGGGAGGCAGCAGUGGGGAAUAUUGGACAAUGGGCGCAAGCCUGAUCCAGCCAUACCGCGUGGGUGAAGAAGGACUUCGGGUUGUAAAGCCCUUUUGUUGGGAAAGAAAAGCAGCAGGUUAAUACCCCGCUGUUCUGACGGUACCCAAAGAAUAAGCACCGGCUAACUUCGUG
This 492-nucleotide ribosomal RNA is filed under the name uncultured bacterium. RNAcentral's name for it is "partial 16S ribosomal RNA". It matches the Rfam family "Bacterial small subunit ribosomal RNA", at positions 29 to 507 of the family's 1533-position model. The record is from RNAcentral.